GGUAGACCAAACCUUCUGACUAGGAUCCUGAAUGUUUGAGAAUGAAGGGACCAUUCUGUCUGUGUCCAGCGUUGCCUGCUUAGAUCAUCUGCCACUAUGUUGCCUGAGAUUGACUCUAAAUUGCUGAGAUUGACUCUACUUGAGCCCAAGACAUGAUCUGUGUACAGAGCCUUUGGAGAGAUUUUACCUUUGUACCACACUGGCGGUUUAGGUAAGAGACAGUGGUGAGAUUGUCUGAUUGGAUCCUCACUGAUUUUUUUUCUUAUCUCCAUUCUGAAAGCUAGAAGGGUGUUCCAUACAGCUUUCAUUUCCCUGAAGUUUGAAGACUGAGCUGCUUCUUUUA
Pelobates cultripes (western spadefoot toad) is the source of this 343-nucleotide non-coding RNA. The record is from the annotation of a GenBank genome assembly. NCBI's taxonomy places the organism in Eukaryota, Metazoa, Chordata, Amphibia, Anura, Pelobatidae.